UACAGAGGGGGCAAGCGUUGUUCGGAAUUACUGGGCGUAAAGGGCGCGUAGGCGGCCUUCUAAGUCGAACGUGAAAUCCCCGGGCUCAACCCGGGAACUGCGUCCGAUACUGGAAGGCUUGAAUCCGGGAGAGGGAUGUGGAAUUCCAGGUGUAGCGGUGAAAUGCGUAGAUAUCUGGAGGAACACCGGUGGCGAAGGCGACAUCCUGGACCGGUAUUGACGCUGAGGCGCGAAGGCGUGGGGAGCGAACGGG
RNAcentral lists this ribosomal RNA (253 nucleotides) under uncultured bacterium. RNAcentral describes it as "partial 16S ribosomal RNA". It matches the Rfam family "Bacterial small subunit ribosomal RNA", at positions 524 to 776 of the family's 1533-position model. The record is from RNAcentral.